RNAcentral lists this ribosomal RNA (501 nucleotides) under Escherichia coli. RNAcentral's name for it is "bacterial LSU rRNA". It matches the Rfam family "Bacterial large subunit ribosomal RNA", at positions 2447 to 2925 of the family's 2925-position model. Lineage: Bacteria; Pseudomonadati; Pseudomonadota; Gammaproteobacteria; Enterobacterales; Enterobacteriaceae. The record is from RNAcentral.
GCUCAACGGAUAAAAGGUACUCCGGGGAUAACAGGCUGAUACCGCCCAAGAGUUCAUAUCGACGGCGGUGUUUGGCACCUCGAUGUCGGCUCAUCACAUCCUGGGGCUGAAGUAGGUCCCAAGGGUAUGGCUGUUCGCCAUUUAAAGUGGUACGCGAGCUGGGUUUAGAACGUCGUGAGACAGUUCGGUCCCUAUCUGCCGUGGGCGCUGGAGAAYUGAGGGGGGCUGCUCCUAGUACGAGAGGACCGGAGUGGACGCAUCACUGGUGUUCGGGUUGUCAUGCCAAUGGCACUGCCCGGUAGCUAAAUGCGGAAGAGAUAAGUGCUGAAAGCAUCUAAGCACGAAACUUGCCCCGAGAUGAGUUCUCCCUGACUCCUUGAGAGUCCUGAAGGAACGUUGAAGACGACGACGUUGAUAGGCCGGGUGUGUAAGCGCAGCGAUGCGUUGAGCUAACCGGUACUAAUGAACCGUGAGGCUUAACCUUACAACGCCGAAGCUGUU